Brassica oleracea var. oleracea is the source of this 144-nucleotide long non-coding RNA. RefSeq lists it as uncharacterized. Lineage: Eukaryota; Viridiplantae; Streptophyta; Magnoliopsida; Brassicales; Brassicaceae. The record is from RefSeq and is a predicted model, not a curated record. The transcript has 2 exons.
GAAGAAGGCUUUCUUCUGGAACCUCUUCUAGCAAUAAGGGAGACGAGGAGGAUGUAAACGUCGAUUUGACAGAACAGAAGAAAGCCAAUGACGUUUAUUCCAUUUGAAUCCAUGACCUCAAAACUUUCUAGACGUUCUUUUUUU